AUGUAUGUAUGUAUGUAUGUAUGUAUGUAUGUAUUUGGCCCCGUUCCUGAAAAAAAGCUUUUAAAUCCUUGUGAUUUACUGAGUGAUAGAGGUGACAGGAAUGUCUUUUGUUAUUUAUAACAAGCCCCUUUAGAACAUAACGGAGUUUAUGUGAAUGAGGUGGCACUUGGUGAGCCCACAGCUAGUGUCAGGAUGGGGGCUGGUUGUCAGGGGAACCAACCAUGCGAUUAGGGGGUAGGAGCUUUCAGACCCACCCCUGGACCUCUGGGGAGGGGAGAGAGGCUAGAGUUCAAGUUUAGUCACCAAUGGCUGAUGAUUUAAUGAAUCACGUCUAAGGAAUGGAACCUCCAUAAAAAUCCCUAAAUGACAGGAAUUGGAGAGCUUCUGACCAAUUAACUCAGAAAGUGUCAACUUCUGUAUCUACAUCAAUGACACCCAAAUAUGUAUCUCUAGCCUGACAUAGCUCAAGCGGCUCCAGUGCAGGAGACAGAGGGAGCCUGGAAUCCAAAGAAGAGAGCUCCAACCAGCAUAGAGUUGUCAACAGUGCAAGCUGCUGAAAAGAGGACAAGGAAGAUAUUAUCCCUCCACGCCAACCAGCAUGCACUUCUCAACCAGCCUUACUGCCUAUAAACUACCGCUGUUUUGACUGUCAGCUAAAUGAUGAAAGCCUGAGAGAGGGCAUUUUAUUAGUGGCAUAGUCAGAUGCAGCUGUGCUCUAAGACCAUCCUCUGAAAAUGCCUGGGAGAAACUAUUUCCUUCUCAUUGACAAUUACUAAAAAUGGUCAUUCGUUGGCCAGGUCCACUAAACAGUGCAUACGUUGAUCAGAGUUAUUUUGUUUGAAAUUAGUGUGCUGUACAGAAAGCUUUGUCUUGCAUGAACCUGUGUUUUGAUAAAACAGAGACCUUGGGCAUUAGCAGAUAGGAGGAUGGGUGACAGUUUACCACUAACUUUAAACAGGUUCAAAGGUAAAUACCAUAUUUUGUUAAUUUUCAUAUUCAUUAAAGAUCUAAAUAUUGAGAAGUUUGCUUGAGGAUUAAGUAUCUUCCAACCAGGGGCACCAAGGUGAGGACACUUUAAACUAGAUAUACCUGGGCUACAGCACUGAAAAGUAGGGCCUAUGAGGGUGGGGGAUUUUGUGUCUUGUUUGUUGCUGUAUUCCCAGAGCCUGGAACACUGCUGAGUAUAUAACAGGCACUAAAUAAAUACUUCUAAAUGAAUGA
This 1221-nucleotide long non-coding RNA is filed under the name Homo sapiens (human). RNAcentral describes it as "HSALNT0347541". The record is from RNAcentral. Lineage: Eukaryota; Metazoa; Chordata; Mammalia; Primates; Hominidae.